GACGGAGGAUGCAAGCGUUAUCCGGAAUGAUUGGGCGUAAAGCGUCCGCAGGUGGCAGUUCAAGUCUGCUGUCAAAGACCGGGGCUUAACUUCGGAAAGGCAGUAGAAACUGAACAGCUAGAGUAUGGUAGGGGCAGGGGGAAUUCCUGGUGUAGCGGUGAAAUGCGUAGAGAUCAGGAGGAACACCGAUGGCGAAGGCAGGUCUCUGGGCCACUACUGACGCUGAGAAGCGAAAGCAUGGGGAGCAAACGGG
RNAcentral lists this ribosomal RNA (253 nucleotides) under uncultured bacterium. Its description in RNAcentral is "partial 16S ribosomal RNA". It matches the Rfam family "Bacterial small subunit ribosomal RNA", at positions 524 to 776 of the family's 1533-position model. The record is from RNAcentral.